AAGUCGUAACAAGGUUUCCGUAGGUGAACCUAUCAUUAACACGUAUCCAACGUUAAAACCCCCGUGAACCUUCAGUGUGCUCGUACGCUUUGUUAGAGAGUAGCAAUCCUGGUAAAUCAUCGCCGAACAGUUUUGAUUCAGGGACUUCUGCGAAUGUAGCGCGAGGCAAGUGGCCAUCCUUGUCUGAAAGUGUCAAGGGUGGCGCAGUCACGAUCGCUAGAGGCCGACACGGCCGGCGGGCUCACGCCCCUUAAUAACCUUUGCAUGAAAACGGGCCUGCGCUUAAUUGUGCGGCCAUAAACCGAACAACUGUUAACAAUGGAUAUCUUGGUUCUC
Molecule: unclassified non-coding RNA, 336 nt
Filed under: fungal sp.
Lineage: Eukaryota; Fungi
Description: partial internal transcribed spacer region
Source: RNAcentral